AGAUUCUACGGGAAUGGCAGCAACGGGAUGCUGGAGGCCGGGGCUCUUAGUACUGCACAGGAGAAAAUGGGUGUGUGAUCUCAGCUCCCAGAAGACCAGAGAUUGAACCCAGGCCACAGAGGUGAAAAUGCUGAAUCCUAACCACUAAACUACCAGGGGAUCCCCAAAUUCAAUGAACUGACCCAUUUGAUCAAUGCAACGACCAAUUAUAUUUUGUGUUAUUUAUUUUUUUGAGAAGCAUGGUCCAGAUGGACCCCAGCAGCCUGAAGAGCAGCCCACCAGAAACAUGCCUGUGGCCGGGCCCUGGAGCAGCACACCCAGCGCCCCCAAGUCUUGCAUCUGACUGGCACCACCUGCACCACCUACUCCAAUGACAGACCCCUCGAGACCAAACCUCCUGAUGGUAUAUAUAAGUUCCCAGGACCAUAGCAAUGCUGGACCC
Non-coding RNA from Sus scrofa (pig), 442 nucleotides. Lineage: Eukaryota; Metazoa; Chordata; Mammalia; Artiodactyla; Suidae. The record is from RefSeq and is a predicted model, not a curated record.